GACGAACUUUGGCGGCGUGCUUAACACAUGCAAGUCGAACGGAAAGGCCCUGCUUUUGUGGGGUGCUCGAGUGGCGAACGGGUGAGUAACACGUGAGUAACCUGCCCUUGACUUUGGGAUAACUUCAGGAAACUGGGGCUAAUACCGGAUAGGAGCUCCUGCUGCAUGGUGGGGGUUGGAAAGUUUCGGCGGUUGGGGAUGGACUCGCGGCUUAUCAGCUUGUUGGUGGGGUAGUGGCUUACCAAGGCUUUGACGGGUAGCCGGCCUGAGAGGGUGACCGGCCACAUUGGGACUGAGAUACGGCCCAGACUCCUACGGGAGGCAGCAGUGGGGAAUAUUGCACAAUGGGCGGAAGCCUGAUGCAGCAACGCCGCGUGCGGGAUGACGGCCUUCGGGUUGUAAACCGCUUUCGCCUGUGACGAAGCGUGAGUGACGGUAAUGGGUAAAGAAGCACCGGCUAACUACGUGCCAGCAGCCGCGGUGAUACGUAGGGUGCGAGCGUUGUCCGGAUUUAUUGGGCGUAAAGGGCUCGUAGGUGGUUGAUCGCGUCGGAAGUGUAAUCUUGGGGCUUAACCCUGAGCGUGCUUUCGAUACGGGUUGACUUGAGGAAGGUAGGGGAGAAUGGAAUCCCUGGUGGAGCGGUGGAAUGCGCAGAUAUCAGGAGGAACACCAGUGGCGAAGGCGGUUCUCUGGGCCUUUCCUGACGCUGAGGAGCGAAAGCGUGGGGAGCGAACAGGCUUAGAUACCCUGGUAGUCCACGCUGUAAACGGUGGGUACUAGGUGUGGGGUCCAUUCCACGGGUUCCGUGCCGUAGCUAACGCUUUAAGUACCCCGCCUGGGGAGUACGGCCGCAAGGCUAAAACUCAAAGGAAUUGACGGGGCCCCGCACAAGCGGCGGAGCAUGCGGAUUAAUUCGAUGCAACGCGUAGAACCUUACCUGGGUUUGACAUGGAUCGGGAGCGCUCAGAGAUGGGUGUGCCUCUUUUGGGGUCGGUUCACAGGUGGUGCAUGGCUGUCGUCAGCUCGUGUCGUGAGAUGUUGGGUUAAGUCCCGCAACGAGCGCAACCCUUGUUCACUGUUGCCAGCACGUUAUGGUGGGGACUCAGUGGAGACCGCCGGGGUCAACUCGGAGGAAGGUGGGGAUGACGUCAAGUCAUCAUGCCCCUUAUGUCCAGGGCUUCACGCAUGCUACAAUGGCUGGUACAGAGAGUGGCGAGCCUGUGAGGGUGAGCGAAUCUCGGAAAGCCGGUCUCAGUUCGGAUUGGGGUCUGCAACUCGACCUCAUGAAGUCGGAGUCGCUAGCAAUCGCAGAUCAGCAACGCUGCGGUGAAUACGUUCCCGGGGCU
Molecule: ribosomal RNA, 1346 nt
Filed under: uncultured bacterium
Lineage: Bacteria
Description: bacterial SSU rRNA
Rfam family: Bacterial small subunit ribosomal RNA
Source: RNAcentral